AUCUGCAAAAUCAGGAACAAAUGAUAUGAUGCCCUUUCUCGUUACAUAGGGAUUUUAUAUUGAAAAUCAGAGCAAUAUUACUACUUUGCUUAAUUUUGAAGAAGUGACAUGAGUCUUUGAACUCUAAUGGAUACUAUUAACGGGUUAACAAUUUAAGUGGAAGUUUUUUCAUAUAAUUAUUAGCUUGUAAAACUUGCUGUUGUAGUAGCUUUAUACUUCAUGUUGCUGUGCAGACCCUCGACGAUGUAGUGAGAUACUUCAGGAAUACGUGUAGUAUGCUUCUCCCUGCUGAUAACCAGAUGC
This 303-nucleotide unclassified non-coding RNA is filed under the name Hevea brasiliensis (rubber tree). Lineage: Eukaryota; Viridiplantae; Streptophyta; Magnoliopsida; Malpighiales; Euphorbiaceae. The record is from RNAcentral.